Molecule: non-coding RNA, 86 nt
Organism: Cordylochernes scorpioides
Lineage: Eukaryota; Metazoa; Arthropoda; Arachnida; Pseudoscorpiones; Chernetidae
Source: the annotation of a GenBank genome assembly
UGUCCAAUGCGGGAAUCGAACCCGGGUCGUAGGAGUCGAAAACCAACGGUUUAGACCAUCCUUCCACUGACCCCCAUUAAUUAAAC